Molecule: RNase P RNA, 368 nt
Filed under: Thiomicrospira sp.
Lineage: Bacteria; Pseudomonadati; Pseudomonadota; Gammaproteobacteria; Thiotrichales; Piscirickettsiaceae
Also listed under: 10 other names
Description: RNase P RNA component class A
Rfam family: Bacterial RNase P class A
About the family: Ribonuclease P (RNase P) is a ubiquitous endoribonuclease, found in archaea, bacteria and eukarya as well as chloroplasts and mitochondria. Its best characterised activity is the generation of mature 5'-ends of tRNAs by cleaving the 5'-leader elements of precursor-tRNAs.
Source: RNAcentral
CAAGAAGAUUGGGCAAUCGCGAGAGUUUCGAUUUUCGAGGAAAGUCCGGGCACUACAGAGCAGAAUGCCAGCUAACGGCUGGGCGGUGAAAGCCGACGGAAAGUGCAGCAGAGAGUAGACCGCCAAUUUAUUGGUAAGGGUGAAAGGGUGCGGUAAGAGCGCACCGCGCAGCGGGUAACCGUUUGUGGCAAGGUAAACCCCAUUCAGUGCAAGACCAAAUAGGGAAACAGGUUUAAGCUUGCUUAAACAAGGUGUGGCUCGCACCUGGUUUCCGGGUAGGUUGCUUGAGGGAAGCAGUGAUGCUUCUCCUAGAGGAAUGAUUGUCGCCCGCGAGGGAACAGAACCCGGCUUAUAGAUCUUCUUGCACU